Molecule: long non-coding RNA, 411 nt
Organism: Lathyrus oleraceus (garden pea)
Lineage: Eukaryota; Viridiplantae; Streptophyta; Magnoliopsida; Fabales; Fabaceae
Exons: 4
Source: RefSeq, a predicted model, not a curated record
AGAGGCAUUAAUUUGCACCCAGAAUUGGUUAAAGCUGUCUUUUACCUAUUUCAAAGACUUGAACCUCAUGGAAGAUUUUGAGCUUUCUGAAGAUAUUAUAGCAGAAUUUGAAGAAAUUUCUUCUACAGCAAGAAGAGGAUCUUUACCGUCUCAGCCACAACCUUCUGGUUGUGCUUGAAAAAUAUGGAGUUCAACUAUGUUUUUUGAAGUCAUAUGUGACUUAUAUUUUGUGACUACUCAAUGGUCAAAUAAUAUAUAUUUUGUCCUGUGGAUUUUGAAGAUAUUCAAGCUAGCCAAAUUUUGAACAUUUUGAGGCCAUGCAGGAACAAUUUGGAGCUAAGACAUUUUUGAUAUAUGUAGAACCUGUGUUUAGCAAAACAGGAGAAACAAUUGGUGUAAACUAUAUGGGAA